RNAcentral lists this transfer RNA (66 nucleotides) under Muscina stabulans. Its description in RNAcentral is "tRNA-Gly". Lineage: Eukaryota; Metazoa; Arthropoda; Insecta; Diptera; Muscidae. The record is from RNAcentral.
AUUUAUAUAUUAUAAAAAGUAUACUUGACUUCCAAUCAUGUGGUCUAUAUAAAAAUAGUAUAAAUA